AAUAAAUAAAAUAAACUUGUAAACAAAAUACAAUACUCAAUUUAAUAAACAACACCCAGUGCGCUCUGAUGACAUCACCACCUCAUGUGACUCCCUCCCUGCACGCCACCAUCCGGAAACACCCUACUUGAAAUCAGAACCGGGAAAACGUUUAAUGCUGAAAACAGGUUAGAAUGAAUGUUUAACUGAAGCAGGAACACCGCGUGUGCACCCACGACGAACCGCAUCAGGUUAAACUGCAACAAAAAACGCAGACAUUGCUGUCCUUCCUUUGUCAGCUUCUGACGGCUCUGAUAUCAUCAUCUCUGCUGGAGGGCAUCCGUGGAAACUCUGAGCUGCAGGAUUUCCCUGGAGGAUGGAGCUGAGCAGGGAGCUCCAGCACACCUGCUCUGCACCAAGCCUCAUCAAUGGCAGGAUAAGG
Molecule: long non-coding RNA, 421 nt
Organism: Xiphophorus hellerii (green swordtail)
Lineage: Eukaryota; Metazoa; Chordata; Actinopteri; Cyprinodontiformes; Poeciliidae
Exons: 3
Source: RefSeq, a predicted model, not a curated record